GUGAGGUAACGGCUCACCAAGGCAUCGACGGGUAGCUGGUCUGAGAGGACGAUCAGCCACACUGGGACUGAGACACGGCCCAGACUCCUACGGGAGGCAGCAGUAGGGAAUCUUGCGCAAUGGGCGAAAGCCUGACGCAGCAACACCGCGUGGGGGAUGAAUGCCUUCGGGUUGUAAACCCCUUUCAGUAGGGACGAAAAUGACGGUACCUGCAGAAGAAGCCCCGGCCAACUACGUGCCAGCAGCCGCGGUAAUACGUAGGGGGCAAGCGUUGUCCGGAUUUAUUGGGCGUAAAGAGCUCGUAGGCGGUUCGGUAAGUCGGGUGUGAAAAUCCAAGGCUCAACCUUGGGACGCCACCCGAUACUGCUGUGACUAGAGUCCGGUAGAGGAGUGUGGAAUUCCUGGUGUAGCGGUGAAAUGCGCAGAUAUCAGGAGGAACACCUGCGGCGAAGGCGGCACUCUGGGCCGGUACUGACGCUGAGGAGCGAAAGCAUGGGGAGCAAACAGGAUUAGAUACCCUGGUAGUCCAUGCCGUAAACGUUGGGCACUAGGUAUGGGGUCUUAUCAACGGAUUCCGUGCCGUAGCUAACGCAUUAAGUG
Molecule: ribosomal RNA, 600 nt
Filed under: uncultured Actinomycetes bacterium
Lineage: Bacteria; Bacillati; Actinomycetota; Actinomycetes
Description: bacterial SSU rRNA
Rfam family: Bacterial small subunit ribosomal RNA
Source: RNAcentral